Daphnia pulicaria is the source of this 134-nucleotide long non-coding RNA. RefSeq lists it as uncharacterized. The record is from RefSeq and is a predicted model, not a curated record. The transcript is spliced from 5 exons. Lineage: Eukaryota; Metazoa; Arthropoda; Branchiopoda; Diplostraca; Daphniidae.
GGGGCGGAACCAAGUGUCCCAGUGGUCGAUGAGGCCAAUCUGCAUCAGUUCCAAUAUCCCUCGACUAAUGCUGGCGUGUAGGGACUGUUUUUCGGAAGAGCAAACGAGGCCGUGGUGCUGAGGAAACUUUCUUU